CCUACGGGUGGCUGCAGUGAGGAAUAUUGGUCAAUGGACGGGAGUCUGAACGAGCCAUGCCGCGUGCAGGAAGAAGGCUCUAUGAGUGGUAAACUGCGUUUGUAGAAGGGUAAACCGGAAUACGUGAAUGCAGCUGCAAGGACGGUAUGAAUAAGGAACGGCUAACUCCGUGCCAGCAGCCGCGGUAAGACGGAGCUUCCAAGCGUUAUCCGGAUUUAUUGGGUUUAAAGGGUGCGUAGGCGGUUUGCUAAGUUAGAUGUGAAUUGUCCGAGCUGACCCCGGGAACUUCCUCUGAUACGGUUGGUCUAGAGUGUAGAUGCGGUGGGCGGAAUGUCUGGUGUAGCGGUGAAAUGCUUAGAUAUCUUGCAGAACACCGAUUGCGAAGGCAGCUUACCACUCUGUAUCUGACGUUGAGGCACGAAAGCGUGGGUAGCAAACAGGAUUAGAUACCCUUGUAGUC
RNAcentral lists this ribosomal RNA (460 nucleotides) under uncultured bacterium. RNAcentral's name for it is "partial 16S ribosomal RNA". It matches the Rfam family "Bacterial small subunit ribosomal RNA", at positions 338 to 795 of the family's 1533-position model. The record is from RNAcentral.